GUCCUAAGGUAGCGAAAUUCCUUGACACUUAAUUGGUGUCCUGCAUGAAUGUUGUAACGACUGCUACGCUGUCCCAGCUGUGGGUUCUGUGAAUUUGAAUUGCCCGUGCAGAUGCGGGCAUGUAAGCAUUGGACGAAGAGACCCCGUGCAGCUUAAC
This 157-nucleotide ribosomal RNA is filed under the name uncultured Symbiodinium. RNAcentral describes it as "partial Bacterial large subunit ribosomal RNA". It matches the Rfam family "Bacterial large subunit ribosomal RNA", at positions 1948 to 2104 of the family's 2925-position model. Lineage: Eukaryota; Dinophyceae; Suessiales; Symbiodiniaceae. The record is from RNAcentral.